Molecule: long non-coding RNA, 416 nt
Organism: Helianthus annuus (common sunflower)
Lineage: Eukaryota; Viridiplantae; Streptophyta; Magnoliopsida; Asterales; Asteraceae
Exons: 2
Source: RefSeq, a predicted model, not a curated record
AAAAUUUAAACCCAUUUUUUCUUGCUAUCAUUGCUCCCUCUCUCUCUCUCUCUAUCUCUCUCAAAAUUCUAGAUCUGAUUUCUCUCUAGGUUCAAAUCCUCCCUUCUUUUUUAGGUUUUUUAAUGAUGCUAAGAUUAUAGUAAAGAGAUGGAAAAUCUGGUGGGAUUUAUCGGCCGUCGAUUUGAGCUUUAGCUUCGAUCGUCGAUUUGUCUCCAGGUAAUAUUCAUUGUAUAGGCUUCAAUCCCUCUGUCUUUGACGGCGAUGAUACAUCAGUUCUUAGGGUUGAAAGAUGGGGUUUUCAGGGAUGUUGCAUUCAUGGUGUUUGAUGUAAGUCCUCAACCAAACAACCUAAUCAUUUGUCAUUGGGUUCAGUUAAUUAAUUCAUUCUAACGGUAAUUUUAUCGCGUUUAUGUUUA